Molecule: non-coding RNA, 817 nt
Filed under: Balanus trigonus
Lineage: Eukaryota; Metazoa; Arthropoda; Thecostraca; Balanomorpha; Balanidae
Source: RNAcentral
UUUUUAAAUUUUUUAUCAAAAAAAUCAAAUUUAUAUAUUAUUUACUUUUUUAACUUUAUUAAUAUAAUCGUUGAGAUCCGUGUUGUAUUUUUAGCUCUUUAAUAGACCUACAUGUAAGAUUCUUCUAGUAAGUUAUUUAUAAAUAAAUUUUAAAAAGAGAUUCUCAGUAGUUAAUAUUAGAAAUAUAUUAAAGUUUUAUCUAGGUAAUUAUGUAGAAGUGGAAAAUGGCGUGCCAGCAGCCGCGGUUAUACUCCUGCUUCAAGUUAAAAAUUAUUCACAGAAUUGUGUUUAAAUCGUAAUUUAGGAAGUUUACUUGAGAUUGAUAGGUAGAAUUUUAAUUUUAGAAAACGACAUAAAUAUUUAAACAUAGAAGUUGUAGUAGGGACCAGGAUUAGAUACCCUGUUACUUACAAGUAAAAAUUUCUGGAACAGUAAUAGUAAUGAAAUUUAACGGAUUUGGCGGCAAGAUAGCCAUUUAGAGGAACCUGCCCUAUAAUCGAUGAACCACGAAUUACCCUACUUUUUCUUGAAUUCAGUUUGUAUACCGCUGUUGUCAGUUAGUUUCAUCAGAAAACUUUCAUAAAUGAAAAAUUCAACGACUUCAAGUAAAGGUGCAGCUUAUGAAAAAGAUAGAGGUGGGUUACAUUUAUAAGAAUAAAACGGAUAAAGUUUUUGAAAUUAACUUUUGAAGGUGGAUUUAAUUGUAAAGUUUUAUUAAACUUGAUGAGAGCUCUGUCUUGUGUACACACCGCCCGUCGCUCUCUUUUUUAAACGAGAUAAGUCGUAACAAGGUAAGUGUAAUGGAAAUUGCACUUGA